ACUGGAAACGGUAGCUAAUACCGCAUAACGUCGCAAGACCAAAGAGGGGGACCUUCGGGCCUCUUGCCAUCAGAUGUGCCCAGAUGGGAUUAGCUAGUAGGUGGGGUAACGGCUCACCUAGGCGACGAUCCCUAGCUGGUCUGAGAGGAUGACCAGCCACACUGGAACUGAGACACGGUCCAGACUCCUACGGGAGGCAGCAGUGGGGAAUAUUGCACAAUGGGCGCAAGCCUGAUGCAGCCAUGCCGCGUGUAUGAAGAAGGCCUUCGGGUUGUAAAGUACUUUCAGCGGGGAGGAAGGUGAUGAGGUUAAUAACCUCGUCAAUUGACGUUACCCGCAGAAGAAGCACCGGCUAACUCCGUGCCAGCAGCCGCGGUAAUACGGAGGGUGCAAGCGUUAAUCGGAAUUACUGGGCGUAAAGCGCACGCAGGCGGUCUGUCAAGUCGGAUGUGAAAUCCCCGGGCUCAACCUGGGAACUGCAUUCGAAACUGGCAGGCUAGAGUCUUGUAGAGGGGGGUAGAAUUCCAGGUGUAGCGGUGAAAUGCGUAGAGAUCUGGAGGAAUACCGGUGGCGAAGGCGGCCCCCUGGACAAAGACUGACGCUCAG
This 606-nucleotide ribosomal RNA is filed under the name uncultured bacterium. Its description in RNAcentral is "bacterial SSU rRNA". It matches the Rfam family "Bacterial small subunit ribosomal RNA", at positions 149 to 750 of the family's 1533-position model. The record is from RNAcentral.